GGGCGGUUAGCUCAGUGGGAGAGCGCUUGCCUUACAAGCAAGAGGUCGCUGGUUCGAAACCGGUACCGCCCACCA
RNAcentral lists this transfer RNA (75 nucleotides) under Candidatus Dadabacteria bacterium RBG_19FT_COMBO_40_33. RNAcentral describes it as "tRNA-Val". It matches the Rfam family "tRNA". Rfam says of the family: Transfer RNA (tRNA) molecules are approximately 80 nucleotides in length. Their secondary structure includes four short double-helical elements and three loops (D, anti-codon, and T loops). Further hydrogen bonds mediate the characteristic L-shaped molecular structure. tRNAs have two regions of fundamental functional importance: the anti-codon, which is responsible for specific mRNA codon recognition, and the 3' end, to which the tRNAs corresponding amino acid is attached (by aminoacyl-tRNA synthetases). tRNAs cope with the degeneracy of the genetic code in two manners: having more than one tRNA (with a specific anti-codon) for a particular amino acid; and 'wobble' base-pairing, i.e. permitting non-standard base-pairing at the 3rd anti-codon position. The record is from RNAcentral. Lineage: Bacteria; Pseudomonadati; Thermodesulfobacteriota; Candidatus Dadabacteria.